CGUAGGUGAACCUGCGGAAGGAUCAUUCAUAAUAAAGUGUUUUAUGGCACUUUUUAAAAAUCCAUAUCCACCUUGUGUGCAAUGUUAGAUCUCGUCAAUCUUGGCGAGAUUUUUAUACAUCAACUCAUUCUUUAACUAAUUUGUCUGAAAAAUAUUAUGAAUACUUAAUUCAAAAUACAACUUUCAACAACGGAUCUCUUGGCUCUC
This 207-nucleotide unclassified non-coding RNA is filed under the name plant metagenome. RNAcentral describes it as "partial contains small subunit ribosomal RNA, internal transcribed spacer 1, and 5.8S ribosomal RNA". The record is from RNAcentral.